CCUACGGGUGGCAGCAGUGGGGAAUAUUGCACAAUGGUGGAAACCCUGAUGCAGCAACGCCGCGUGAAGGAAGACGGUUUUCGGAUUGUUAACUUCUAUCAAUCAGGAAGCAAGAAAUGACGGUACCUAACUAAGAAGCCUCGGCUAACUACGUGCCAGCAGCCGCGGUAAUACGUAGGGGGCAAGCGUAAUCCGGAAUUACUGGUUGUCAAGGGGGAGUAGGCGGUGAUGCAAGUCAGAAGUGAAAGCCCGGGGCUCAACUCCGGGACGGCUUUUGAAACUGUGUGACUGGAGUGCAGGAGAGGUAAGCGGAAUGCCUGGUGUAGCGGUGAAAUGCGUAGAUAUCAGGAGGAACACCAGUGGCGAAGGCGGCUUACUGGACUGUAACUGACGUUGAGGCUCGAAAGCGUGGGGAGCAAACAGGAUUAGAUACCCCGGUAGUC
Molecule: ribosomal RNA, 443 nt
Filed under: uncultured bacterium
Lineage: Bacteria
Description: partial 16S ribosomal RNA
Rfam family: Bacterial small subunit ribosomal RNA
Source: RNAcentral